RNAcentral lists this transfer RNA (73 nucleotides) under Pseudomonadota bacterium. RNAcentral describes it as "tRNA-Ile". It matches the Rfam family "tRNA". From Rfam's summary of the family: Transfer RNA (tRNA) molecules are approximately 80 nucleotides in length. The record is from RNAcentral. Lineage: Bacteria; Pseudomonadati; Pseudomonadota. RNAcentral also lists the same sequence under 1 other name.
GGGCCCAUAGCUCAGUGGUUAGAGCCCCCGGCUCAUAACCGGGUCGUCCCUGGUUCGAAUCCAGGUGGGCCCA